This 30-nucleotide non-coding RNA is filed under the name Homo sapiens (human). Lineage: Eukaryota; Metazoa; Chordata; Mammalia; Primates; Hominidae. The record is from RNAcentral.
CGGAACUAGAUGGUUAUAGGGACGGCUCCA